ACGAACGCUGGCGGCGUGCUUAACACAUGCAAGUCGAACGGAAAGGCCUGCAGCUUGCUGCGGGUACUCGAGUGGCGAACGGGUGAGUAACACGUGGGUGAUCUGCCUUGCACUUCGGGAUAAGCUUGGGAAACUGGGUCUAAUACCGGAUAGGACAGCUGUUUAGUGUCAGUUGUGGAAAGUUUUUUCCGGUGCAAGAUGAGCUCGCGGCCUAUCAGCUUGUUGGUGGGGUAAUGGCCUACCAAGGCGUCGACGGGUAGCCGGCCUGAGAGGGUGUACGGCCACAUUGGGACUGAGAUACGGCCCAGACUCCUACGGGAGGCAGCAGUGGGGAAUAUUGCACAAUGGGCGGAAGCCUGAUGCAGCGACGCCGCGUGGGGGAUGAAGGCCUUCGGGUUGUAAACUCCUUUCGACAGGGACGAAGCGUAAGUGACGGUACCUGUAUACACGAAGCACCGGCUAACUACGUGCCAGCAGCCGCGGUAAUACGUAGGGUGCGAGCGUUGUCCGGAAUUACUGGGGCGUACAAGAAGCAUCGAAGGUGGAAACA
This 550-nucleotide ribosomal RNA is filed under the name uncultured Actinomycetes bacterium. Its description in RNAcentral is "bacterial SSU rRNA". It matches the Rfam family "Bacterial small subunit ribosomal RNA", at positions 29 to 586 of the family's 1533-position model. Lineage: Bacteria; Bacillati; Actinomycetota; Actinomycetes. The record is from RNAcentral.